Molecule: long non-coding RNA, 970 nt
Organism: Corticium candelabrum
Lineage: Eukaryota; Metazoa; Porifera; Homoscleromorpha; Homosclerophorida; Plakinidae
Exons: 3
Source: RefSeq, a predicted model, not a curated record
GCUGAUCGGUGGUAGCGUACUGACUCCCUUAUCUGUGAUAGCGAAGACUGAGUGUCAAAACGAAGCUGGCUGCUUGAGGACUGGGGCUUGUUUGUUCGUGAUACGAACUAGAAGAGAUUUCGAUUGCAGACAUCCUGGAUGAAGCUUAACUGGUGCUUCUUGAGUUGGUCUAAUCGUACAUAUUCUGAGCAACUGGAUUGAGUGCAUUUGACUCGAAGCGAAGCUAGUGACAUUAAGAGGACAGACAACAUCAGCUGAUGAUUUAAUGGCUUGAACAGCACGCUGUGCACAACAUAGUUGUUUACAAGGUAAUUCCACAGGUGCAUUGAUGACUUGUUUACAUAUUGGACAAAGAAACAACUCUAUUGUGAGAGGGGGAGCUGGCUGGAUGAACUCAGAGGGCAAGAGAGACUGAGUUGAGACAUCCGAACAGAAUGAUGGAGGAGCUGUCUGCUUUAUGUUGUCAAUUACAUUCUGAAGUGACGGCAUUGUGUCACUAGCGGCUGCAGUUCUUUUCUUCUAUGAUUUUUUGGAAGGACGUCCUCCUUUUCAUUGCUCCUUGCAGCUCAAGCAGAUUGGACAGUCUUCUGAGUGAGCUUGCCAUUUUGGUGAUUAUGCAACAUUCAGCAGCGCUCCUUGGCUUUUUUCACACUUUGACAUUGCAAGGUAACAACCAAUACAGAAGUCAGUUGGGUGAACAAAUGGGUCAUUGUUUUCCAAAUGUCAGUUGCUGUACGCUUGUGAUAGUCGCCUAGAAUACUCAGAGCAGGCAUAAGGACGGUCAUCACGUCCAAACCUAAUGCCACAUACACGACAUAGAUGUCUAUGGCAGGCCUGAUGUUCAUUCAUUAUGUAACACACAAAGUUACUAGUACAGUAGUACUGAGACUCUUUGAAUUUAUUGAAAAAUUUCUUGUUAUAUAACUGAACUGAGUUACACCUUAACAAGACAGUACAUGGUUCGUGAGAA